RNAcentral lists this ribosomal RNA (482 nucleotides) under uncultured bacterium. RNAcentral's name for it is "partial 16S ribosomal RNA". It matches the Rfam family "Bacterial small subunit ribosomal RNA", at positions 30 to 507 of the family's 1533-position model. The record is from RNAcentral.
AUUGAACGCUGGCGGCAUGCUUUACACAUGCAAGUCGAACGGUAACAGGCCGCAAGGUGCUGACGAGUGGCGAACGGGUGAGUAAUGCAUCGGAACGUGCCCAGUCGUGGGGGAUAACUACUCGAAAGAGUAGCUAAUACCGCAUACGAUCUAUGGAUGAAAGCGGGGGACCGUAAGGCCUCGCGCGAUUGGAGCGGCCGAUGUCAGAUUAGGUAGUUGGUGGGGUAAAGGCUCACCAAGCCAACGAUCUGUAGCUGGUCUGAGAGGACGACCAGCCACACUGGGACUGAGACACGGCCCAGACUCCUACGGGAGGCAGCAGUGGGGAAUUUUGGACAAUGGGCGCAAGCCUGAUCCAGCAAUGCCGCGUGCAGGAAGAAGGCCUUCGGGUUGUAAACUGCUUUUGUACGGAACGAAACGGCUCUGGUUAAUACCCGGGGCUAAUGACGGUACCGUAAGAAUAAGCACCGGCUAACUACGUA